GAGGCUAUAGCUCAACUGGCAGAGCAUGUGCUUAGCGUGCAUGAAGUCCUGGGUUCAAUCCCCAGUACCUCCU
Molecule: transfer RNA, 73 nt
Filed under: Camelus bactrianus (Bactrian camel)
Lineage: Eukaryota; Metazoa; Chordata; Mammalia; Artiodactyla; Camelidae
Also listed under: 2 other names
Rfam family: tRNA
About the family: Transfer RNA (tRNA) molecules are approximately 80 nucleotides in length. Their secondary structure includes four short double-helical elements and three loops (D, anti-codon, and T loops). Further hydrogen bonds mediate the characteristic L-shaped molecular structure. tRNAs have two regions of fundamental functional importance: the anti-codon, which is responsible for specific mRNA codon recognition, and the 3' end, to which the tRNAs corresponding amino acid is attached (by aminoacyl-tRNA synthetases). tRNAs cope with the degeneracy of the genetic code in two manners: having more than one tRNA (with a specific anti-codon) for a particular amino acid; and 'wobble' base-pairing, i.e. permitting non-standard base-pairing at the 3rd anti-codon position.
Source: Rfam by way of RNAcentral